UCUAGCUAAGCCACACCCCCAAGGGUUUUCAGCAGUGAUAAACAUUAAGCUAUUAGUGAAAACUUGACUUAAUUAAGGCUAUUAAGGGUCGGUAAAAUUCGUGCCAGCAACCGCGGUUAUACGAAAGACCCAAGCAGACAAUACCCGGCGUAAAGAGUGGUUUAUUUAAAUUUUACUAGAGCCAAAUACCCUCAAGACUGUUAUACGUGUUCGAGAAUAUAGAAGCCCACCCACGAAAGUAGCUUUAUAAAAUAAAUACCACUAAAGCUAAGACACAAACUGGGAUUAGAUACCCCACUAUG
Molecule: ribosomal RNA, 302 nt
Filed under: Aspasma ubauo
Lineage: Eukaryota; Metazoa; Chordata; Actinopteri; Blenniiformes; Gobiesocidae
Description: partial 12S rRNA
Rfam family: Bacterial small subunit ribosomal RNA
Source: RNAcentral